UACGUAGGCAGCAAGCGUUGUUUGGAGUUACUGGGCGUAAAGGGUGUGUAGGUGGCGCGGUAAGUCGGGUGUGAAAUCUCGGAGCUUAACUCCGAAAUUGCAUUCGAUACUGCCGUGCUCGAGGACUGGAGAGGAGACUGGAAUUCAUGGUGUAGCAGUGAAAUGCGUAGAGAUCAUGAGGAAGACCAGUGGCGAAGGCGGGUCUCUGGACAGUUCCUGACACUGAGGCACGAAGGCCAGGGGAGCAAACGGG
RNAcentral lists this ribosomal RNA (253 nucleotides) under uncultured bacterium. Its description in RNAcentral is "partial 16S ribosomal RNA". It matches the Rfam family "Bacterial small subunit ribosomal RNA", at positions 524 to 776 of the family's 1533-position model. The record is from RNAcentral.